RNAcentral lists this transfer RNA (73 nucleotides) under Salmo salar (Atlantic salmon). It matches the Rfam family "tRNA". From Rfam's summary of the family: Transfer RNA (tRNA) molecules are approximately 80 nucleotides in length. Their secondary structure includes four short double-helical elements and three loops (D, anti-codon, and T loops). RNAcentral also lists the same sequence under 1 other name. Lineage: Eukaryota; Metazoa; Chordata; Actinopteri; Salmoniformes; Salmonidae. The record is from Rfam by way of RNAcentral.
UCCUGUCUGGCUCAGUUGGUAGAGCAUGGAGCUUGCAACGCCAGGGUUAUGGGUUCCAUUCCUGCGGGGGGAC